This 488-nucleotide ribosomal RNA is filed under the name Henricia tahia. RNAcentral's name for it is "partial 16S ribosomal RNA". It matches the Rfam family "Bacterial large subunit ribosomal RNA", at positions 1860 to 2525 of the family's 2925-position model. Lineage: Eukaryota; Metazoa; Echinodermata; Asteroidea; Spinulosida; Echinasteridae. The record is from RNAcentral.
UGCCCGGUGACUGUAAGGUUAAACGGCCGCGGUAUUUUUGACUGUGCGAAGGUAGCGUAAUCAUUUGCUCUUUGAUUGGGGGCUGGAAUGAAUGGCAAGACAGGGGCUAGGCUGUCUCUUCUUUAAUUUUUUGAAUCUGAUAUUACUGUGAAGAAGCGGUGAUGCGGCCGUAAGACGAGAAGACCCUGUUGAGCUUGAUUGAGGGCGGCUUUGAUGUUGUUUGUUAAGGUCUUGGGAACUAAUUUUUGUUUAUUUGAAUGGAUGUAAGUAAGGUUAUUUCUGGGGAGAAAUGAGAAGUUGUUUUUUGUUUGGUUGGGGCAACCACGGAGUAGAAAAAUCCUCCGUUUGAUUGGGUAGAAAAAGGUACUGCUUUGUUGUAAUAGUUUUUGCUUUUAAGAUCCACCAUUGGUGAUUGUAGGAAUUAGUUACCACAGGGGUAACAGCGUUAUUUUUUUGGAGAGUUCAUAUUGAUAAGGAAGUUUGCGACC